Molecule: long non-coding RNA, 1880 nt
Filed under: Lathyrus oleraceus (garden pea)
Lineage: Eukaryota; Viridiplantae; Streptophyta; Magnoliopsida; Fabales; Fabaceae
Description: Pisum sativum (pea) long non-coding RNA (PSAT_LNC014057)
Source: RNAcentral
UUAAAUCUAAUUUGUUUUGAUUUUUAUACAUACCAUAAGCCAAGUACAUAAAAUCACAUUUUAAUUUCAAUUUUCUUCACAAAAUUGAAUGUCACAUCCAUUUACAUUUGCAUUUUAAAUAAAAUACAAAUUUAAGUUUACAUCACAUUCCAAGUGCAUUUCAUACUACAUUUCAAAUAAAACAAAUGAAAUCCGUUUUCAUUUCAAACAAACACAAAACUUACAUUUCAUCUCUAAGUACCCAUAACUACCUUAAUCCCUACAAACUAACACAAUUCAAUCCAUCCACUCUUAAACCCAUCACAAAAAUCAUUAUCCUAGGAUUCUAAUUCGAUCAUGCCUAACUAACUUUCCCUCCACUUUCAUCAUUACUUAAACAACACUCAUCACCAUCAUGAGAGGGUAAUCACUAUUUUAAAAAAAACACCAAAAUCCCAAUUAUUAUCUCAUUACAAACUUCACACUUCACCAAUCUUCAUCAUGUUUCCAUAAUCCAAAGUUCUUCAUCCUUCACCAUAUUCAUCUUCACCCUCAAACUUUUUCACUCUUCCAUAAUCACACUUUACAAACUCACAAAAAAAUCCACAAUUUCACAUCCUCCAUAAUCAAAAUUUCUUCAUUCUUCCAUAAUCAAAAUUCACCAAAAACCUUCAUCAAUCAUCAUCAAUCUUCAAGCAUCUUCAACCAAGCUUCACACUUCCAGCAACUAUCUUCAUUCAUCUUCUACCAAUAUUCUUCACAUCCUCCAUCAUCAUCAUUUCAUCUUCAUACUUCAACAAUUCACCAAACACAAUCCUUGAAUCAAUCUUCAAACAUCUUUAUCAAUUCUUUCCUAUUAUCAUCAUCACCUUCAAAAAUUUAAAACCACAACAACAACAUUCAAAAUUCAGUAUCAUCAACAUAAACAAAACAAAAGCAAAAGAGAAUAAAAAGAGUUGUUUAAGCAUCUCAUAAAAAAUGUGGUGAGGAAGAAGCGGAGCAGUGAUUAUGGCAACAACUCCCCUCCAAUCCACAAACCGAUUUGAUCCAAAUCAUCAACAGCAUGCAGCAGUCACAAAUAAAGCAAAACAGAAUCGAAAAGAAGCAAAAGAUUUGUUGAGGCGUUUUAUCGAACACCUUGCGAGCAAGAACGAAUUUUGUAUUUUUAUUCAUUCCAACCGGUAAACUUCCAUCUAAUUCCAUUCUUUGAUAUUGUAUGCUUGUUGUAACUUUAAUUUAAAUCAAAACCUAUACUGAAAUCAAGUCAUGAUCAAAACCAAACACAAACCAUAUUUUAUGUCAAAAUUGAAUAAAGCUUACCGGAAUGCGCUUCUAAACAAAAAUCAUUUCUAAACCAAAACAAAAAUCCGAAACCAGAACCAUUAAAACUGAAACUGAGUUGGAACACGCAGGGUGAACCGAAAAGCUGUAACGUGACGUUCUGAACCAAAAUAUGAAUUCAAAACGCAAACCAAUUCAAAACCAGAACUGAAAACUGAAAUACCAACUCUGAACCUACCAAACCGCGAGUCGAUACGAACCGAAACAGUGAGAUAUGGACGGAUUUGUAGUUGUUACAUAAGUAUGAAACUUAACUGCUGGAUGAGAAAUCGGCGAAAUCGCUUAUGUGGUGAUCAAUGUGAGAAUUGUGUUUUGGCUUACGUGAAGCACGACUCAGGUUCGUUUCUUCAUCCUGCGUUUUCAACUUACAACUUACUGCUAUAUGCUAUGUACCGCUGCAUGUAAUAAGUUUUGCUUUUCUAACUUUUAUGCUAUUAGUUUUAUGUAAUAUAAUAUAUAAUGUACUCUCUUUCUACGUUUAUUUUAUUAUUUAUAAUUCCAACACAUGUCAAAUUUGGAUUGGUAAUUAAAUUAAGUUUAUAAAAUGAUUUUACUCCCUA